AUGAACCGGAUGCGGGCAUGUCUGCAGCCUAGAAUUGGUGAUCAAGACGCUGGGGGGAGUGCAGCAAGGGGAACUGCUAGAGAUCCAUCUAUGCUACGUAGCAGGGGAGAGAGCCUGAGAGCAGAGCUGACAAAACUUGAGGCCCAGGGAAAAGCAGACCUAGAAUAUGCGCAAAUCCAUGGAACUUUCCCAGAUAGGGAAGGAACUUGUAAAGAUGAUGCAGUGAUUGUUGACGAGGAGAGACAUGAGUGUCUAAGAACGUUAUCUGCAGCUGCACUUGCUGUUGUGGAGCAAGCUAUGGAUAAUCCAGAAGUUUUUGAAGGCAUAUUUGAUCAAGCUAGAAGACUUCUUUCAAAUGUUGGAGCUGACGGAGACACCGAAGAUGCUGGAGCGGACAAUCAUGCAUAUGGCAACAGCCGAUCCAAUGGUAACAAUCACGAACAGAUACACUGGGCAGAACUAGAGAGGGAAGGCCAAGAUGACCAACAGGAAAAAGGAGGUGAAGCUGCAGGGGAUAUCCAAACUGACGGCGAAGUUAGGGACAAUAACUGGAGGGAGCUACUGAAUGCAAGCCAACAGGCGGCUGCAAACAUGUCUCCACUCGCCACCAACGGUGAGCGUAUGGUCGGCAGGGAACAGGACUGCUUGCGUCAUAACGAGGAUCUAGAUGAUGAGUUCUUUGGGGGUGCAUCAUGGUGGGUACUGACUAUUCUGCUGAAGACGAUGAGUUGA
Molecule: ribosomal RNA, 732 nt
Filed under: Triticum aestivum (bread wheat)
Lineage: Eukaryota; Viridiplantae; Streptophyta; Magnoliopsida; Poales; Poaceae
Description: partial small subunit ribosomal RNA
Source: RNAcentral